GAAAAGUNAGCCUUUGCAGACCAUCUAGAGAGAACAGAGAAUUGAGUCCCAGCCCCUCGUCUUUUCUUUUAGCAUCAAGUGGAGCUGAGGAAGAGGAGCAGGAGUAAGAAGAAAAGCGAAGCUUUGAAAGCUUGCAGAAGUUGCCUGAAAGAACUGGAGGGAGCUCGCAGCCUGAUUUCACUUUUGCAAAGCUGCCUGGGGAGGCUCCCUGACAAGGGUGGCUUUCAUCAGCUCUUAUGUCAAGACCCCCCGGGUGAGGUGUACAAAUCAGCGCCUGCUGGAGCCCACCAGCCAUGCGGGGAGCCUGUGGAUGUUGCUACUCCUGCCAUGUCCUUGCUGGCUACCCCAGUUCCUCUGACCCAGGAUCCUCCACUUCUUAGCCCAAAGACUCCUUCAGUUUCUGUUCAUUCCCACUCAUCCCCGAGUGCCUCUUGGCCACCAGAACCUUUUCUUCCCCUGGGCAGCCUUUUACCACAGCCACUUGCUCUUUCCCCUCCCCCUCCAUGUCCCCUUA
Long non-coding RNA from Ailuropoda melanoleuca (giant panda), 514 nucleotides. RefSeq lists it as uncharacterized. NCBI's taxonomy places the organism in Eukaryota, Metazoa, Chordata, Mammalia, Carnivora, Ursidae. The transcript has 3 exons. The record is from RefSeq and is a predicted model, not a curated record.